This 99-nucleotide signal recognition particle RNA is filed under the name Betaproteobacteria bacterium. RNAcentral's name for it is "signal recognition particle sRNA small type". It matches the Rfam family "Bacterial small signal recognition particle RNA". From Rfam's summary of the family: The signal recognition particle (SRP) is a universally conserved ribonucleoprotein involved in the co-translational targeting of proteins to membranes. Archaeal SRP consists of a 7S RNA and homologues of the eukaryotic SRP19 and SRP54 proteins. Lineage: Bacteria; Pseudomonadati; Pseudomonadota; Betaproteobacteria. The record is from RNAcentral.
GGCGGGCCUCCCCGCACUGCGGCAUGGUGAACCUGGUCAGGUCCGGAAGGAAGCAGCCACAGCUAUUCACCGCAGGUGCCGGGGGUAAGGCUCGCCACC